Molecule: ribosomal RNA, 306 nt
Filed under: uncultured bacterium
Lineage: Bacteria
Description: bacterial SSU rRNA
Rfam family: Bacterial small subunit ribosomal RNA
Source: RNAcentral
AACGAACGCUGGCGGCAGGCCUAACACAUGCAAGUCGAACGCUCCGCAAGGGGAGUGGCGCACGGGUGAGUAACACGUGGGAACCUACCUUCUGGUACGGAACAACCAAGGGAAACUUUGGCUAAGACCGGUAUACGGACCUCCGGGUGAAAGAUUGAUCGCCGGAAGAGGGGCCCGCGGUCCGAUUAGGUAGUUGGUGAGGUAACGGCUCACCAAGCCUUCGAUCGGUAGCUGGUCUGAGAGGAUGACCAGCCACACUGGGACUGAGACACGGCCCAGACUCCUACGGGAGGCAGCAGUGGGGAA